This 816-nucleotide long non-coding RNA is filed under the name Lupinus angustifolius (narrow-leaved blue lupine). RNAcentral describes it as "long non-coding RNA (LANG_LNC002918)". The record is from RNAcentral. Lineage: Eukaryota; Viridiplantae; Streptophyta; Magnoliopsida; Fabales; Fabaceae.
CCCAUGAGAGUAGACUUGUAAAACAAUUUAUUAUGAAUGAAGGUGUUGGGUUUCCCUUUUGUAUAAUCAGUUGAAAGACUUCUACUUAUGCCUUGAUGCAACUCUUCUGUUUUGUUGUUUGUUGAGUAUUCUAUAUUCAUGAAUUGAUCCUGCACCAUCACCUUGUUUCUGCUGCAACAGUCAGAUUGGAAAUUUUGUUUCCUGCAAUACAUAGAAGCAAUUGAUCUGUAAGUGUGAAGUAAAUUUAAUAUAACUGAAAAUGAACUGUGAAUUUAUUCAAUAAAGAAGAUUUAAACUAAACACGGAAAAAAUGUGGGAUGUGAAUGUGAAAAUUAAGACCCCAUGAUAGGGGUAUAGAUCACCUGUCCUCAUUCCUGUUCCAUUUCCUGUCCUGGUCCAAUAAAAAAUUGACACUUCAUUAAAAAAAAAGAAUUUUAAAGACUUAAAGUAAUAUAUGUGCAUUACUUGGAAAAACCCUAUUGACUUGGGACAUGGGGACACACUGAUUUUGGGACAGGUGAUCCCCAUUCCCAUGAUAGAAGACUAGAUGUGUAUUUUUUCUUUCAUGAAUUUGAUUAAUUAAGGUGGUUCUUACAUAGGCCUGCUAAAUUGGACUAUUGUUCUAUCUCUUCAUAUCGGCCACCUCUAGCCCACAUCUUCUUGACAGACUUUUUAAUUAAUUCCUCCAUCCUCCAAUUUUUUGGAAUUUGAAUAAUUAUGUUUGUCAACCUACAAUUUAUCACAGAAGAUAAUUGAGAUUUGAGAUGACGCAAAUUCAUGAUUUAUAAGUAAAUGUAUUAGAUUAUAAUAUUUUUU